GAUGAACGCUAGCGGGAGGCCUAACACAUGCCAGCCGAGCGGUAUUUGUUCUUCGGAACAGAGAGAGCGGCGCACGGGUGCGGAACACGUGUGCAACCUGCCUUUAUCUGGGGGAUAGCCUUUCGAAAGGAAGAUUAAUACCCCAUAAUAUAUUGAGUGGCAUCAUUUGAUAUUGAAAACUCCGGUGGAUAGAGAUGGGCACGCGCAAGAUUAGAUAGUUGGUGAGGUAACGGCUCACCAAGUCAAUGAUCUUUAGGGGGCCUGAGAGGGUGAUCCCCCACACUGGUACUGAGACACGGACCAGACUCCUACGGGAGGCAGCAGUGAGGAAUAUUGGACAAUGGGUUAGCGCCUGAUCCAGCCAUCCCGCGUGAAGGACGACGGCCCUAUGGGUUGUAAACUUCUUUUGUAUAGGGAUAAACCUACUCUCGUGAGAGUAACUGAAGGUACUAUACGAAUAAGCACCGGCUAACUCCGUG
This 479-nucleotide ribosomal RNA is filed under the name uncultured bacterium. RNAcentral's name for it is "partial 16S ribosomal RNA". It matches the Rfam family "Bacterial small subunit ribosomal RNA", at positions 28 to 507 of the family's 1533-position model. The record is from RNAcentral.